GAUAGAUAGAUAGAUAGAUAGAUAGAUGAUAGAUAGAUAGAUAGAUAGAUAGAUAGAUAGAUAGAUAGAUAGAUAGAUCACAAUCCUUUUUUUAGGACUGCAAUGUUAUCUACAAAAUGCACAUGGAAGUCAUGUUCACAGAAAUGUUUUAGUCAAGGGCUCUUUUAUCCCAACAGAUAUGUAAAUCAAGGCACAAUUUCCCCUUUAAAGGAGCCCAUGGUUUCCCUUUUCAGAAAACACCCACCAACCUAAGCCUUGUGCUAUUUGCUGAAUCCUCUCUUGGCAAUUCCCUCCACUCAUUAGAGGGAGCAAAAAUGUGGCUAAACCUUGUAUCCUUACUAGUACUCCUCAAAGGAGUCCAAUCUCAAGUGCAGCUGGUGGAGUCUGGAGGGGAUGUGAGAAGACCUGGAGAGUCCCUCCGUCUCUCCUGCCAAGCCUCUGGAUUCACCUUCAGCAGCUAUGCAAUGUACUGGGUGAGACAGGCUCCUGGGAAAGGACUGGAAUGGGUGUCAUACAUAAACUACAAUUCAGGAAUUCUUACAUACUCGGACAAAGUGAAGGGCCGCUUCACCAUCUCCAGGGACAAUGCCAAAAGCCAGCUCUAUCUGCAAAUGAACAGCCUCCAAGCUGAAGACACGGCAGUCUAUUACUGUGCUACAUACACAGUGAGUGGAAGUGAAUCUGCUGCUAUGCAAGAACCUUCCUUUCUUCAGAGCAGCUCUUCACCUUGUCUAAACCUCCAAUCCUGGGUUAUCAAUGAGAUUUGA
Non-coding RNA from Pantherophis guttatus, 767 nucleotides. Lineage: Eukaryota; Metazoa; Chordata; Lepidosauria; Squamata; Colubridae. The record is from the annotation of a RefSeq genome assembly.